Pelobates cultripes (western spadefoot toad) is the source of this 153-nucleotide non-coding RNA. The record is from the annotation of a GenBank genome assembly. NCBI's taxonomy places the organism in Eukaryota, Metazoa, Chordata, Amphibia, Anura, Pelobatidae.
GCAGACACAUUCCAGCCAAUCAGCAGCAGACCCUCCCUCCCAGAUCCUCCCACCUCCCAGCUCACUAAGAAUGCAGCUUCACAAUGGAUGCUGUCCAGGAGUUGGGAGGGUCUGGGAGGGAGGGUCUGCUGCUGAUUGGCUGGAAUGUGUCUG